Jatropha curcas is the source of this 2307-nucleotide non-coding RNA. NCBI's taxonomy places the organism in Eukaryota, Viridiplantae, Streptophyta, Magnoliopsida, Malpighiales, Euphorbiaceae. The record is from RefSeq and is a predicted model, not a curated record.
AAUUAGCAUAUAUUUAGAGAGAGAAACACUACAAAUAAGCAAAGAAGCAGAAAAACAAUGCCUCUUCUCUCCCUUCCUCACCAAAAUCGAUAAUUUUAAUUCUUCUUCUGAAAUCUGCGUCUCCAGUAUAAACCCCUCGUAACGUAAAAAACACCUAAGAGAAAAUCGCCAACGUUCUCUUCUCUCUCGCAUUUUGCUUUUUUUAUUUUUAUUUUUAUUUUUUUAGUUUAUUUUUCCUCAUCAAAUGGUGGUUAUGAUGGAGGAUAAUGACAGUUGUGGCAGCAGAGCUCACGAUACAACAACGACGUCUUCUUCUUCUUCGCCGUCGACUACGAUGUCAGUUACACAGGGACGGAAACAGAGACAGAAGUUAGAGGUUUACAAUGAGGUUCUUCGUCGACUCAAAGAGUCCAACAAUGAAGAAGCUAAUCGGCCUGGCUUCGACGACGAACUGUGGGCUCACUUUCAUCGUCUUCCUACUCGAUAUGCACUGGAUGUGAAUGUGGAGAGGGCAGAAGAUGUGCUUAUGCACAAGAGAUUACUGCAAUUGGCUCAUGAUCCUGAUAAUAGACCUGCUAUUGAAGUCCGCCUUGUGCAGGUUCAUCCUGUUUCUGAUGGGAAUUCAGCUGAUUCUAACCUUUCAGAAUCUCCUUGUAAAGGAACUGCCCAAAGUACUAGAAAAAGCAUACAUCCGCCACCUGCCUUUGGUUCAUCACCUAAUCUUGAAGCACUUGCACUUGAAGCAAGCAAAUCUGAAAAAGAAGAUGGUGAUCAUUCUGUGCAUGCAAAUUCAAAAUUUCCUCGGCCCAUGCAUGAAAUUACUUUUUCAGCAGAUGACAAGCCAAAACUUCUUAGUCAGUUGACUUCCUUACUUGCUGAGAUUGGGUUGAACAUUCAAGAAGCACACGCUUUCUCUACUACUGACGGCUACUCCUUGGAUGUCUUUGUGGUUGAUGGUUGGCCAUUUGAGGAAAUAGAGCAGCUCAGAAUAGCAUUGGAAAAGGAAGUUCUCAGGAUUGAGAAGCAGAAUUGGCCAAAUAAUCAUUCAUUAUCGCCUACUAGUGAGCAUGAGCAGACCCAAAUCGAUUGUAGUCCUGUUCAUGUCACUAUACCUAGUGAUGGGACUGACGUUUGGGAAAUUGAUCCUAAGAACUUGAAGUUUGAGAACAAAGUUGCAUCUGGGUCAUAUGGCGAUCUGUACAAGGGUACAUACUGCAGUCAGGAGGUGGCUAUUAAAAUCCUCAAGCCUGAGCGUAUAAAUUCGGAUUUGCAGAAAGAGUUUGCCCAGGAAGUCUUCAUAAUGAGGAAGGUUCGACAUAAGAAUGUUGUACAGUUUAUAGGUGCAUGUACCAAGCCUCCGAGUUUGUGCAUUGUAACAGAAUUUAUGUCUGGUGGAAGCGUAUAUGAUUAUCUACACAAACAGAAGGGUAUUUUUAAGCUUCCAUCCCUGCUUAAAGUAGCAAUAGACGUUUCCAAAGGAAUGAACUACUUGCACCAAAAUAAUAUAAUCCACAGGGAUUUGAAGGCUGCAAACCUUCUCAUGGAUGAAAAUGAAGUGGUUAAGGUUGCUGAUUUUGGGGUUGCGAGAGUAAAGGCUCAAUCUGGAGUUAUGACAGCUGAAACUGGGACCUAUAGAUGGAUGGCUCCUGAGUUGUUUUGCAUUGAAGGUCAUAGAACACAAACCAUAUGACCACAAGGCUGAUGUUUUUAGUUUCGGGAUUGUGCUGUGGGAGUUGUUAACUGGGAAGCUUCCAUACGAGUAUUUAACCCCAUUACAAGCAGCUGUUGGUGUGGUCCAAAAGGGACUACGACCUACAAUUCCAAAGAACACUAAUUCAAAACUGGCUGAGCUGCUUGAGAGAUGUUGGCAGCAAGAUCCAGCACUACGACCUGAUUUUGCCGAGAUUAUAGAGAUCUUGCGGCAAAUAAUGAAAGAGGUUGGAGAUGAAAGCGAUGGUCGCAAGGACAAAUCAUCUGGAGGAUUCCUCUCUGUCCUUAGAAGAGGGCACCACCACUGAAGUAGAUAUAAAGAUCCGUAACCUGAAGCAAUUGCUGCAAAUCAUCUUUCGUCCAUGACGCCAUCAUUGCUGUACAGUAUUUAUUCAAAACGAUCUAUCUUUUUUUAUUUUAUUUUUAUUUUUUCCUUCAGAGAAUACAAUUUAAGACCAAUCGUUCCAUUUUCACAUUGUUUGAUCACAGCAUUAAUCUGUAGUUAGGGAUUGUGUCGCAGAUGAACCUUUGUAAGACUGACCAUAUAUCCAGCGGCUUUAUGAAAAAAGAUAGUACUUUGAGCAUUUAUGUCAAUAA